GAGAAUAGAGAAAAGAGAGAAUGUGGA
This 27-nucleotide small RNA is filed under the name Bombyx mori (domestic silkworm). Its description in RNAcentral is "ovarian small RNA-15672". The record is from RNAcentral. Lineage: Eukaryota; Metazoa; Arthropoda; Insecta; Lepidoptera; Bombycidae.